Hypanus sabinus (Atlantic stingray) is the source of this 1384-nucleotide long non-coding RNA. RefSeq lists it as uncharacterized. Lineage: Eukaryota; Metazoa; Chordata; Chondrichthyes; Myliobatiformes; Dasyatidae. The record is from RefSeq and is a predicted model, not a curated record. The transcript is spliced from 4 exons.
AGGCAGAUGGGGAAUGGAUGGUGGGAACAGCGCUGGAAGGUUGUAGGUGAGGGUGGGAGUGACAAAAGGCUGAAGAUAAUGAAGGUGGAGCAUGAACUAAAGGGAGGGAGGUGCGGAGGGAAGAUGGGAGUAGUGGGGGACGGGAACCAGUGGGAGGAGAGUGUGAAUUCUAUCACGGACUGGUAUGGAAACACUUUGAACGGAAAAGCCUACACAAAGUCCUGAAUCCAGGCCAGUCCAUCACAGCUCUCCACACAAUUGAGCACAUCUACAAGGAGUUUGUUGCAGGAAGGCAACAUCCAUCAUUGAGCACAUCCACCAUCCAGGACAUGUUCGCUUCGCACUGUGGCCAUCAGGAAGAAGAUGUUCCCUGAGCUGCUCAGUGUUGGCAGUGCAGGAGGCACAAUAAUGUCAGCUGAGGAUUGCAGCUGAGGAUCUUUUACAUCCCGGGACCAGCAGGUGGUUCAUGUUUAUUACACAGAAUGAGACAAAAUGAAUCUAAACCAAAGGACAAAAGACACAGAGACAGCAAGACCCUCUCCUCGUUACACAGCAUUUGCCAUGUGUCAGAAACAGGCUCACUCUAAUGAUAAUUGACUGUAACUGAUUGAUUUAUUGAUUUUGCUAAGGGUAUGAGCAGUUCAAAUGUAUGUACACCUGCAUUUUAUGUUCGGGACACUCCUGCCGGCAACUGAAAGUGUGUUUGCUCAAACUGAGCACAGAAGUCCAGCCUGACGACUCUAGUUCAGGUGAUCAGAUAAUUGUGAAUUGGCAGCAAUAAAGUGGAAAAUAAGGAGAAAUUAAAAGAUGCCACAGACUGCUUUGUCAACAUUACAUCUGUGGGCAGAAUCCCAGUAUGACAUGCUGGAGCUGAUGUUUAUUGAAGAGAACGAAGGCUGCCUGGUGAAUCUAGUUUAGACUGAAGCAGCAACACAGACCACAGUCACUAUGAAUCACUGAGCUUGGGGUUAUCAUUGACCUGAAAACUCUCAGGCCCUGAAGAUCAAGUAUAACAAACUUGUGUAUUCAGAGAGAUUCAAUGAUCUGUAAUCCAAUUGUCAUUGCAAGGUUGUCAGCCGAUGAGGUCCACAAGUUCAGAUAUCUACUAAACCUUUCUUUCUGACAUCUGGACAGUAAAAUGUCUGGUUUUACUCCUGUAAGAGCCUUGGGCCAGUAGCUUGCUAUUUGAUUUUUGUGUUCACCUUGAAUAAAAUAAUAUCACCUGAACUGGAUUUGUCUCUUUAAACUAUGUAUCUGUUCUGGUGAGAACAAAUUAAUAGAUCUCACAAUACCUGAAAAUAACUGUCCCAGGGAAGGUACUGGGAUGGUGCUCCCUUAUCAUUUUGGAAAUUUUGCACUUUCAGGUGUUAGAUUGGACUAUACC